GACGAACGCUGGCGGCGUGCUUAACACAUGCAAGUCGAACGGAAAGGCCCUGCUUGCAGGGUACUCGAGUGGCGAACGGGUGAGUAACACGUGGGUGAUCUGCCCUGCACUUCGGGAUAAGCUUUGGAAACUGGGUCUAAUACCGGAUAGGAGCCAUCUUUAGUGUGGGGGUUGGAAAGUUUUUUCGGUGUAGGAUGAGCUCGCGGCCUAUCAGCUUGUUGGUGGGGUAAUGGCCUACCAAGGCGGCGAAGGGUAGCCGGCCUGGGAGGGUGUACGGCCACAUUGGGACUGAGAUACGGCCCAGACUCCUACGGGAGGCAGCAGUGGGGAAUAUUGCACAAUGGGCGCAAGCCUGAUGCAGCGACGCCGCGUGGGGGAUGAAGGCCUUCGGGUUGGAAACUCCUUUCGCUAGGGACGAAGCUUUGUGUGACGGUACCUAGAUAAGAAGCACCGGCUAACUACGUG
RNAcentral lists this ribosomal RNA (465 nucleotides) under uncultured bacterium. RNAcentral describes it as "partial 16S ribosomal RNA". It matches the Rfam family "Bacterial small subunit ribosomal RNA", at positions 28 to 507 of the family's 1533-position model. The record is from RNAcentral.